This 696-nucleotide ribosomal RNA is filed under the name uncultured Staphylococcus sp. Its description in RNAcentral is "bacterial SSU rRNA". It matches the Rfam family "Bacterial small subunit ribosomal RNA", at positions 60 to 738 of the family's 1533-position model. The record is from RNAcentral. Lineage: Bacteria; Bacillati; Bacillota; Bacilli; Caryophanales; Staphylococcaceae.
AGUCGAGCGAACAGACGAGGAGCUUGCUCCUCUGACGUUAGCGGCGGACGGGUGAGUAACACGUGGAUAACCUACCUAUAAGACUGGGAUAACUUCGGGAAACCGGAGCUAAUACCGGAUAAUAUAUUGAACCGCAUGGUUCAAUAGUGAAAGACGGUUUUGCUGUCACUUGUAGAUGGAUCCGCGCCGCAUUAGCUAGUUGGUAAGGUAACGGCUUACCAAGGCAACGAUGCGUAGCCGACCUGAGAGGGUGAUCGGCCACACUGGAACUGAGACACGGUCCAGACUCCUACGGGAGGCAGCAGUAGGGAAUCUUCCGCAAUGGGCGAAAGCCUGACGGAGCAACGCCGCGUGAGUGAUGAAGGUCUUCGGAUCGUAAAACUCUGUUAUUAGGGAAGAACAAAUGUGUAAGUAACUAUGCACGUCUUGACGGUACCUAAUCAGAAAGCCACGGCUAACUACGUGCCAGCAGCCGCGGUAAUACGUAGGUGGCAAGCGUUAUCCGGAAUUAUUGGGCGUAAAGCGCGCGUAGGCGGUUUUUUAAGUCUGAUGUGAAAGCCCACGGCUCAACCGUGGAGGGUCAUUGGAAACUGGAAAACUUGAGUGCAGAGGAGGAAAGUGGAAUUCCAUGUGUAGCGGUGAAAUGCGCAGAGAUAUGGAGGAACACCAGUGGCGAAGGCGACUUUCUGGUCUGUA